RNAcentral lists this ribosomal RNA (581 nucleotides) under uncultured bacterium. RNAcentral's name for it is "bacterial SSU rRNA". It matches the Rfam family "Bacterial small subunit ribosomal RNA", at positions 264 to 842 of the family's 1533-position model. The record is from RNAcentral.
CCCACCGUGGCGACGAUGCGUAGGGGUUCUGAGAGGAAGGUCCCCCACACUGGUACUGAGACACGGACCAGACUCCUACGGGAGGCAGCAGUGAGGAAUAUUGGUCAAUGGGAGAGAUCCUGAACCAGCCAAGCCGCGUGAGGGAAGACGGCCCUAUGGGUUGUAAACCUCUUUUGUCGGAGAACAAAACCCGGGACGAGUCCCGGACUGCGUGUAUCCGAAGAAAAAGCAUCGGCUAACUCCGUGCCAGCAGCCGCGGUAAUACGGAGGAUGCGAGCGUUAUCCGGAUUUAUUGGGUUUAAAGGGUGCGUAGGCGGUCUGUUAAGUCAGCGGUAAAAUUGCGGGGCUCAACCCCGUCGAGCCGUUGAAACUGGCAGACUUGAGUUGGCGAGAAGUACGCGGAAUGCGCGGUGUAGCGGUGAAAUGCAUAGAUAUCGCGCAGAACUCCGAUUGCGAAGGCAGCGUACCGGCGCCACACUGACGCUGAGGCACGAAAGCGUGGGGAUCGAACAGGAUUAGAUACCCUGGUAGUCCACGCAGUAAACGAUGAAUGCUGGUUGUCCGGGUCGAAUGAGAUCUGG